Macaca fascicularis (crab-eating macaque) is the source of this 148-nucleotide unclassified non-coding RNA. It matches the Rfam family "Metazoan signal recognition particle RNA". From Rfam's summary of the family: The signal recognition particle (SRP) is a universally conserved ribonucleoprotein. It is involved in the co-translational targeting of proteins to membranes. The eukaryotic SRP consists of a 300-nucleotide 7S RNA and six proteins: SRPs 72, 68, 54, 19, 14, and 9. The record is from Ensembl. NCBI's taxonomy places the organism in Eukaryota, Metazoa, Chordata, Mammalia, Primates, Cercopithecidae.
GCUGGGCGUGGUGGUGUACGCCUGUAAUCCCAGCUACUUGGGAGGCUGAGGCAGGAGAAUUGCUUGAACCCAGGAGGUGGAGAUUGCAGUGAGCAAAGAUCACGCCACGGCAUUCCAACCUGGGCAACACAGCAAGACUCUGUCUCAA